Molecule: ribosomal RNA, 453 nt
Filed under: Staphylococcus gallinarum
Lineage: Bacteria; Bacillati; Bacillota; Bacilli; Caryophanales; Staphylococcaceae
Description: bacterial SSU rRNA
Rfam family: Bacterial small subunit ribosomal RNA
Source: RNAcentral
GCUGGCGGCGUGCCUAAUACAUGCAAGUCGAGCGAACAGAUAAGGAGCUUGCUCCUUUGACGUUAGCGGCGGACGGGUGAGUAACACGUGGGUAACCUACCUAUAAGACUGGAAUAACUCCGGGAAACCGGGGCUAAUGCCGGAUAACAUAUAGAACCGCAUGGUUCUAUAGUGAAAGAUGGUUUUGCUAUCACUUAUAGAUGGACCCGCGCCGUAUUAGCUAGUUGGUAAGGUAAUGGCUUACCAAGGCGACGAUACGUAGCCGACCUGAGAGGGUGAUCGGCCACACUGGAACUGAGACACGGUCCAGACUCCUACGGGAGGCAGCAGUAGGGAAUCUUCCGCAAUGGGCGAAAGCCUGACGGAGCAACGCCGCGUGAGUGAUGAAGGGUUUCGGCUCGUAAAACUCUGUUAUUAGGGAAGAACAUAUGUGUAAGUAACUGUGCACAUCUG